Pan troglodytes (chimpanzee) is the source of this 117-nucleotide non-coding RNA. It matches the Rfam family "Metazoan signal recognition particle RNA". From Rfam's summary of the family: The signal recognition particle (SRP) is a universally conserved ribonucleoprotein. It is involved in the co-translational targeting of proteins to membranes. The eukaryotic SRP consists of a 300-nucleotide 7S RNA and six proteins: SRPs 72, 68, 54, 19, 14, and 9. The record is from Rfam. NCBI's taxonomy places the organism in Eukaryota, Metazoa, Chordata, Mammalia, Primates, Hominidae.
GCUGGGCGUGGUGGCUCACACCUGUAAUCCCAGCACUUUGGGAGGCUGAGGCAGGAGGAUCACCUGAGGUCAGGAGUUUGAGACCAGCCUGGCCAACAUGGUGAAAUCCUGUCUCUA